RNAcentral lists this long non-coding RNA (1981 nucleotides) under Homo sapiens (human). Its description in RNAcentral is "HSALNT0362476". The record is from RNAcentral. Lineage: Eukaryota; Metazoa; Chordata; Mammalia; Primates; Hominidae.
AACUCCGUCGCUUGCUGUCUCGCUGUCCCCUCUCUGCCCCGCGCACCUCGCUCCCCCUCCCGGCCGGCGCUCGCAGUGGCGCGCCUGCUCGCUCUCCCGCUAAGCGACGAGUCUUCAACAAGUUGGAGGAAGGCAGGAACGCAGGGGUUAAGCUCGGAAAGCCGCAAUUACCAAGAUCGUGACCCUCCCACACAGUACAGUAACUUAUAUACUUACCUGGAAGAACCCGCUUUGCCGCCGGGCAAACACCCGUGGGGGGCGGGGAGGGGCCGGAGGGAGCGGGCCGGCAGGAGAGGGGCUGCUUCCAGCUGGCUGCAGUGCGGACGGGACCGGCGCGCUCCCGUGGCCCCCAGACCGAGGUGGUCAAACCUGUCCUGACACCCAGAGGUCUGCAUGAGGGGUGGCCACUGAAGGAGGAGUUCUCAAAGGCCACAGGUGAUGAAGAGCUUGGAUGAAUAAACUUAGAAGUCCCAGGAAAAUAGCAAAAAUUUCAUCUCCUGAAGAAAUUUGAAGAUUUUUUUGGAUAUUCUUUUAAAGGUGAAACUUUUCUUCUUUAGGAUUGGACAACUGAAUUUAAAGGCAAGUUAAAGUUCAAUAUUUUGAACAAUGUUUAAAUCAAGAUGAGCGAGAAGACAGAACUGUUAAAAGGUUUUAUUUUACAGCCAAGUGAAGGAUUCAGCUAUGUCCCAAAGGAUUAAACAAGAUGGUAUGCUUAAUAAUUCCUCGCUUCUAUGAAACUCCCUGAUUAUGAAGUGUACUUUCAUUCUAUAGAACUACUCCUGAUUUCAUCAGGAAACUCUGAUCUGAAACUCAAUUUACAGAAAUAUUAAAAAUGAAUUUUCGACUAAAUGGGAAUAUUUGUAUACUAAUAUGAUACAAUAUUGUUGCUUCAUUUUUUUCAUAUUAAAUACUAUUCUAAACUCUAAAUUUGUUAAUAAAUGAAGCAGAAAUCUAAUGUGAUUACAUCUGAGUAUUUUAUUUGUGUAAUAACAAAAUAUUUCUAGAGACUCUUCUACUCUCCUUUAGUCUUUUUCUUUUCUUUUCUUUUCUUUUCUUUUCUUUUUUUUUUUUUUUUUUGAGACAGGGUCUCACUUUGUUACCCAGGCUGGAGUUCAAUGGCGCAAUCUCAGCUCACUGCAUCCUCCGCCUCCCAGGCUCAAGCAAUUAUCCUGCCUAGCCUCCCAAGUAGCUAGGACUACAGGCAUGCACCACCAAGCCCAGCUAGUUUUGUUUGUUUGUUUGUUUGUUUGUUUGUUUGUUUGUAUUUUUUGUAGAGACAGGGUUUCGCUAUAUUGCCCAGGCUGAUUUCGAACUCCUGAGCUCAAGGGAUCUACCCAAAGUGCUGGGAUUAUAGGCAUGAGCCACGGCACCCAGCCUUUAGUCAUUUUUUAGAUGCUGCUUUCUCUGAGCUAGUUCUGGAGAUAUGAUUUCAUAGUCACACCUUUUUGGUUCAAAUUCCAAUUCUUCCACUUACUAGCUUUAAGCUUCUGUUUCCUCAUUCAUAAAAUGGGGUUAAGAGUAGUACCUACCUCACUGAACACUUAAUAUCUAUCUGCCAAUCACUGCUAAAUGCUUAAGUAGUAUUGUUCUCAUUUUACAGAUGUGGAAUUUGAAUGCAUAAUAAUUAAAUCUAUACAAGAUCAUACAGCUAAUAAGAGGCAGAAUCAGGAUCUGGUUCCAGAUUUACCUGACACUAAAGGCCAGAGUUUUAUCGUAUUGCCUCUUCUUCGGAGAGCUAUUAGUCACAUGUUUGGUUAGUAUGGCUCUACUAACCCUUCAUUAGAUGUUAAAUUUCAGCACAGAAUACUGCUGAAUAGGAGUGGGUCAUCAUUAUAGGGUCCUGUAUGCAUUAGAGUUUACUGUGGUUCGUAAAAUUUAUUCAGCGACAAAGGAUUGUUGAAUUCCAAAAGUGUGUGACCACCUGAACUCCAAAGGGCUAUCUGGCAUGUACUGCUUCACUUUGUGGAAGUCGCCAUUUUUU